GGCGCGUUAACAAAGCGGUUAUGUAGCGAUUGCAAAUCCGUCUAGUCCGGUUCGACUCCGGAACGCGCCC
This 70-nucleotide transfer RNA is filed under the name Salmonella enterica subsp. enterica. Its description in RNAcentral is "tRNA-Cys". Lineage: Bacteria; Pseudomonadati; Pseudomonadota; Gammaproteobacteria; Enterobacterales; Enterobacteriaceae. The record is from RNAcentral.